UACAGAGGGUGCAAGCGUUAAUCGGAAUUACUGGGCGUAAAGCGCGCGUAGGCGGUUCGUUAAGUUGUAUGUGAAAGCCCCGGGCUCAACCUGGGAACUGCAUUCAAAACUGUCGAGCUAGAGUAUGGUAGAGGGUGGUGGAAUUUCCUGUGUAGCGGUGAAAUGCGUAGAUAUAGGAAGGAACACCAGUGGCGAAGGCGACCACCUGGACUGAUACUGACACUGAGGUGCGAAAGCGUGGGGAGCAAACAGG
This 253-nucleotide ribosomal RNA is filed under the name uncultured bacterium. RNAcentral describes it as "partial 16S ribosomal RNA". It matches the Rfam family "Bacterial small subunit ribosomal RNA", at positions 524 to 776 of the family's 1533-position model. The record is from RNAcentral.